CCUUCGGGUGGCAGCAGUGAGGAAUAUUGGUCAAUGGGCGCGAGCCUGAACCAGCCAAGUAGCGUGAAGGAUGACUGCCCUACGGGUUGUAAACUUCUUUUAUAAAGGAAUAAAGUGAGGCACGUGUGCCUUUUUGUAUGUACUUUAUGAAUAAGGAUCGGCUAACUCCGUGCCAGCAGCCGCGGUAAUACGGAGGAUCCGAGCGUUAUCCGGAUUUAUUGGGUUUAAAGGGAGCGUAGAUGGGUUGUUAAGUCAGUUGUGAAAGUUUGCGGCUCAACCAUAAAAUUGCAAUUGAUACUGGAAGUCUUGAGUACAGUUGAGGUAGGCGGAAUUCGUGGUGUAGCGGUGAAAUGCAUAGAUAUCACGAAGAACCCCGAUUGCGAAGGCAGCUUACUAAGCUGUGACUGACAUUGAUGCUCGAAAGUGUGGGGAUCAAACAGGAUUAGAUACCCUUGUAGUC
This 460-nucleotide ribosomal RNA is filed under the name uncultured bacterium. RNAcentral describes it as "partial 16S ribosomal RNA". It matches the Rfam family "Bacterial small subunit ribosomal RNA", at positions 338 to 795 of the family's 1533-position model. The record is from RNAcentral.